Molecule: ribosomal RNA, 387 nt
Filed under: Protocruzia adhaerens
Lineage: Eukaryota; Ciliophora; Spirotrichea
Description: Protocruzia adherens partial Bacterial large subunit ribosomal RNA
Rfam family: Bacterial large subunit ribosomal RNA
Source: RNAcentral
GUGAAAUAGAACCUGAAACCGUAUACGUACAAGCAGUGGGAGCCCUUCGGGGUGACUGCGUACCUUUGUAUAAUGGGUCAGCGACUUACUUCUCAGUGGCAAGCUUAACCAAUUAGGGGAGGCGUAGCGAAAGCGAGUCUGAACAGGGCGUUCAGUCGCUGGGAGUAGACCCGAAACCGAGCGAUCUAUCCAUGGCCAGGUUGAAGGUGGGGUAACACCUACUGGAGGACCGAACCCACGUAUGUUGAAAAAUGCAGGGAUGAGCUGUGGAUAGGAGUGAAAGGCUAAUCAAGCUCGGAGAUAGCUGGUUCUCCUCGAAAGCUAUUUAGGUAGCGCCUCGUGUAUAACUCUAGGGGGUAGAGCACUGUUAUGGCUAGGGGGUCAUCC